RNAcentral lists this small nuclear RNA (108 nucleotides) under Myotis davidii. The record is from RNAcentral. Lineage: Eukaryota; Metazoa; Chordata; Mammalia; Chiroptera; Vespertilionidae.
GCUCUUCACUUCGGCAGCACAUAUAGUAAAAUUGGAAUGAUACAGUGAAGAUUAGCAUGGCCCCUGCGCAAAGAUGAUACACAAAUUCGUGAAGCGUUCCGUAUUUAA